This 490-nucleotide ribosomal RNA is filed under the name uncultured bacterium. RNAcentral's name for it is "partial 16S ribosomal RNA". It matches the Rfam family "Bacterial small subunit ribosomal RNA", at positions 29 to 507 of the family's 1533-position model. The record is from RNAcentral.
AUUGAACGCUGGCGGCAGGCCUAACACAUGCAAGUCGAACGGUAACACGAAACCGCUUGCUGUUUCGCUGACGAGUGGCGGACGGGUGAGUAAUGUCUGGCAAACUGCCUGAUGGAGGGGGAUAACUACUGGAAACGGUAGCUAAUACCGCAUAACGUCGCAAGACCAAAGAGGGGGAGCUUCUGGCCUCUUGCCAUCGUAUGUGCCCAGAUGGGAUUAGCUAGUAGGUGGGGUAACGGCUCACCUAGUCGACGAUCCCUAGCUGGUCUGAGAGGAUGACCGGCCACACGGGAAGUGAGACACGGUCCAGAGUCCUAAGGGAGGCAGCAGUGGGGAAUAUGGGGCAGUGGGGGGAAGCCUGAUGCAGCGAGGGCGCGUGUAUGAAGAAGGCGUUCGGGUUGUAAAGUACUUUCAGCGGGGAGGAAGGGAGUAAAGUUGAGACGUUGACUCAGUGACGUUACCGGGAGAAGAAGCACCGGCUAACUCCGUG